GACGAACGCUGGCGGCGUGCUUAACACAUCGAAGUCGAGCGGACUUUGAGAGCUUGCUCUCAAAGUUAGCGGCGGACGGGUGAGUAACACGUGGGUAAUCUGCCCUCAAGUGGGGAAUAACACAAAGAAAUUUGUGCUAAUACCGCAUAAAGUAUGCUAAUCGCAUGAUAGGCAUAAAAAAGAUUUAUUGCUUGAGGAUGAGCCCGCGGCCCAUUAGCUAGUUGGUGAGGUAAAGGCCCACCAAGGCCACGAUGGGUAGCCGACCUGAGAGGGUGAUCGGCCACAUUGGAACUGAGACACGGUCCAGGCUCCUACGGGAGGCAGCAGUGGGGAAUAUUGCACAAUGGGGGAAACCCUGAUGCAGCAACGCCGCGUGAGCGACGAAGGCCUUCGGGUUGUAAAGCUCUGUCUUCGCUGACGAAUAAAUGACGGUAAGCGAGGAGGAAGCCACGGCUAACUACGUGCCAGCAGCCGCGGUAAUACGUAGGUGGCAAGCGUUGUCCGGAAUUAUUGGGCGUAAAGGAUGCGUAGGCGGUUUUUUAAGUGGGAUGCGAAAUACCUAGGCUUAACUUAGGAAUGGCAUUCCAAACUGGAAGACUAGAGUGCAGGAGAGGAAAGUGGAAUUCCCAGUGUAGCGGUGAAAUGCGUAGAGAUUGGGAGGAACACCAGUGGCGAAGGCGACUUUCUGGACUGUAACUGACGCUGAGGCAUGAAAGCGUGGGGAGCAAACAGGAUUUAGAUGCCCUGGUAGUCCACGCUGUAAACGAUGAGUACUAGGUGUGGGGGGCGAAGCCCUCUGUGCCGCAGUUUACACAAUAAGUACUCCGCCUGGGAAGUACGAUCGCAAGAUUAAAACUCAAAGGAAUUGACGGGGGCCCGCGCAAGCAGCGGAGCAUGUGGUUUA
This 904-nucleotide ribosomal RNA is filed under the name uncultured Clostridium sp. RNAcentral's name for it is "bacterial SSU rRNA". It matches the Rfam family "Bacterial small subunit ribosomal RNA", at positions 28 to 948 of the family's 1533-position model. Lineage: Bacteria; Bacillati; Bacillota; Clostridia; Eubacteriales; Clostridiaceae. The record is from RNAcentral.